Molecule: RNA transcript, 3977 nt
Organism: Ailuropoda melanoleuca (giant panda)
Lineage: Eukaryota; Metazoa; Chordata; Mammalia; Carnivora; Ursidae
Gene: GRIN1
Gene name: glutamate ionotropic receptor NMDA type subunit 1
Exons: 22
Source: RefSeq, a predicted model, not a curated record
AUGAGCACCAUGCGCCUGCUGACACUCGCCCUGCUUUUCUCCUGCUCCUUUGCCCGCGCCGCCUGCGACCCCAAGAUCGUCAACAUCGGAGCUGUGCUGAGCACGCGGAAGCACGAGCAGAUGUUCCGUGAGGCCGUGAACCAGGCCAACAAGCGGCAUGGCUCCUGGAAGAUCCAACUCAAUGCCACCUCCGUCACCCACAAGCCCAACGCCAUCCAGAUGGCCCUGUCGGUGUGCGAGGACCUCAUUUCCAGCCAGGUCUACGCCAUCCUAGUUAGCCACCCACCUACCCCCAACGACCACUUCACUCCCACCCCCGUCUCCUACACAGCCGGCUUCUACCGUAUCCCCGUCCUGGGGCUGACCACCCGCAUGUCCAUCUACUCAGACAAGAGCAUACACCUGAGCUUCCUUCGCACGGUGCCGCCCUACUCGCACCAGUCCAGUGUGUGGUUCGAGAUGAUGCGUGUCUACAGCUGGAACCACGUCAUCCUCUUGGUCAGCGACGACCACGAGGGCAGGGCCGCGCAGAAGCGCCUGGAGACGCUGCUGGAGGAGCGCGAGUCCAAGAGUAAAAAAAGGAACUAUGAAAACCUCGACCAACUGUCCUAUGACAACAAGCGCGGACCCAAGGCUGAGAAGGUGCUGCAGUUCGACCCGGGGACCAAGAAUGUGACGGCCCUGCUGAUGGAGGCACGGGAGCUGGAGGCCCGGGUAAUCAUCCUCUCUGCCAGCGAGGACGACGCCGCCACCGUGUACCGCGCAGCCGCGAUGCUGAACAUGACGGGCUCCGGGUAUGUGUGGCUGGUGGGGGAGCGCGAGAUCUCAGGGAACGCUCUGCGCUACGCCCCGGACGGCAUCAUCGGACUGCAGCUCAUCAAUGGCAAGAACGAGUCAGCCCACAUCAGCGACGCCGUGGGCGUGGUGGCCCAGGCAGUGCACGAACUCCUGGAGAAAGAGAACAUCACCGACCCUCCCCGGGGCUGCGUGGGCAACACCAACAUCUGGAAGACAGGGCCGCUCUUCAAGAGAGUGCUCAUGUCUUCCAAGUAUGCAGACGGCGUGACAGGCCGCGUGGAAUUCAAUGAGGAUGGGGACCGGAAGUUCGCUAACUACAGCAUCAUGAACCUACAGAACCGGAAGCUGGUGCAAGUGGGCAUCUACAAUGGCACCCAUGUCAUCCCCAACGACAGGAAGAUCAUCUGGCCGGGUGGAGAGACAGAGAAGCCCCGAGGGUACCAGAUGUCCACCAGGCUGAAGAUUGUGACGAUCCACCAGGAGCCUUUCGUGUACGUCAAGCCCACGCUGAGCGAUGGCACAUGCAAGGAGGAGUUCACCGUCAAUGGGGACCCCGUCAAGAAAGUGAUCUGCACCGGGCCCAACGACACGUCGCCGGGCAGCCCUCGCCACACUGUGCCUCAGUGCUGCUAUGGCUUCUGCGUCGAUCUGCUCAUCAAGCUGGCGCGGACCAUGAACUUCACCUACGAGGUGCAUCUGGUGGCUGACGGCAAGUUCGGCACUCAGGAGCGGGUGAACAACAGCAAUAAGAAGGAGUGGAAUGGGAUGAUGGGCGAGCUGCUCAGCGGGCAGGCGGACAUGAUUGUGGCGCCGCUGACCAUCAACAACGAGCGUGCGCAGUACAUCGAGUUCUCCAAGCCCUUCAAGUACCAGGGCCUGACUAUUCUGGUCAAGAAGGAGAUCCCCCGUAGCACACUGGACUCGUUCAUGCAGCCCUUCCAGAGCACGCUGUGGCUGCUGGUGGGGUUGUCGGUGCAUGUGGUGGCCGUGAUGCUGUACCUGUUGGACCGUUUCAGCCCCUUCGGCCGGUUCAAGGUGAACAGCGAAGAGGAGGAGGAAGACGCGCUGACCCUGUCUUCGGCCAUGUGGUUCUCCUGGGGCGUCCUGCUCAACUCGGGUAUCGGGGAAGGCGCCCCCCGGAGCUUCUCAGCGCGCAUCCUGGGCAUGGUGUGGGCCGGCUUCGCCAUGAUCAUCGUGGCCUCCUACACCGCCAACCUGGCGGCCUUCCUGGUGCUGGACCGGCCGGAGGAGCGCAUCACCGGCAUCAACGACCCACGGCUGAGGAAUCCCUCCGACAAGUUCAUCUACGCCACGGUGAAGCAGAGCUCGGUGGACAUCUACUUCCGGCGGCAGGUGGAGCUGAGCACCAUGUACCGGCACAUGGAGAAGCACAACUACGAGAGCGCCGCGGAGGCCAUCCAGGCCGUGCGGGACAACAAGCUUCAUGCCUUCAUCUGGGACUCGGCGGUGCUGGAGUUCGAGGCCUCGCAGAAGUGCGACCUGGUGACCACCGGCGAGCUGUUCUUCCGCUCGGGCUUUGGCAUUGGCAUGCGCAAGGACAGCCCCUGGAAGCAGAAUGUCUCCCUGUCCAUCCUCAAGUCCCAUGAGAACGGCUUCAUGGAAGAUCUGGACAAGACCUGGGUGCGGUACCAGGAGUGUGACUCUCGCAGCAACGCCCCUGCUACCCUCACCUUUGAGAACAUGGCAGGGGUCUUCAUGCUGGUGGCUGGGGGCAUCGUGGCUGGGAUCUUCCUGAUUUUCAUUGAGAUCGCCUACAAGCGACACAAGGAUGCUCGACGGAAGCAGAUGCAGCUAGCCUUUGCGGCAGUGAACGUGUGGAGAAAGAACCUGCAGGAUAGAAAGAGUGGUAGAGCAGAGCCCGACCCUAAAAAGAAAGCCACAUUUAGGGCUAUCACCUCCACCUUGGCUUCCAGCUUCAAGAGACGUAGGUCCUCCAAAGACACGAGCACCGGGGGUGGACGCGGCGCUUUGCAAAACCAAAAAGACACAGUGCUGCCGCGACGCGCUAUUGAGAGGGAGGAGGGCCAGCUGCAGAUGUGUGCCCGUCAUAGGGAGAGCUGAGACGCCCUGCCCGCCCUCCUCUGCCCCCCUCCCCCGCAGACAGACAGACAGAUGGACGGGACAGCGGCCCGGCCCACGCAGAGUCCCGGAGCACGACGGGGUCAGGGGGAGGAGCGCCCCCCCAGCCUCCCCCAGGCCGCGCCCGCCCACCCGCCGGUCGGCCGGCUGGCCGGUCCACCCGUCCCGGCCCUGCGCGUGCCCCCGAGCAUGGGGGCUAACGGGCUGCCUUGUCUGUGUAUUUCUAUUUUGCAGCAGUACCAUCCCACUGAUAUCACGGGCACGCUCAACCUCUCAGAUCCCUCGGUCAGCACCGUGGUGUGAGGCCCCCGGAGGCGCCCACCUGCCCAGUUAGCCCGGCCAAGGACACUGAUGGGUCCUGCUGCUCGGGAAGGCCUGAGGGAAGCCCACCCGCCCAAGACUGCCCACCCUGGGCCUCCCGUCUGUCUGUCCACCCUGCUGCCUGGCGGGCAGCCCCUGCUGGACCGAGGCUCGGACCAGAGCGGCUGAGGACAGGCCAGAGCUGAGCUGGCUGGGCAGGGCCGCAGGGCACUCCGGCAGAGGCAGGGCCCUGGGGUCUCUAAGCAGUGGGGGAGAGGGGCUAACCUGGCCCCAGAGGGGCUCGGAGCAGAGACUGAAGCCCCAUCCUUCCCCAGCCACUACCAGAGCCACAGUGGGGGUGCGAGGCCCCAACUGGCUGGGUCACCCCCUCCUCCAGCGCCUGCUCUUGGCAGCCUCAGCUCCACCCCUGUCCUUUUCUUACCCUUGUCCCUUCUCGGCUUGACCCCCAUCCACCCAGCUGGUCCUGCCCCUCCCCAAGGGCAGAUUCUGACGCUCAGCUGGCAGCUGCCUCCCAGGAGCGCCCUGGGUUCUCCGCUGCCUCUGACCUCUUCCUCCCAUCUCCGCGAGGGCUAAGCCGGCUAUUCGCAGCCCGAGAUAGGCUUCCCCACACGCGCUGGCUAGGGACUGUCCUCAGCCCUGCCCGCCAACUUGUACAGGCCCAGCCCUUCCAGUGUCUGAGCGCGUGCCUUCCCCACGCCGCCCAUGCGCAGCCGCGCGCGGCCCCUCCGCCCAGGGGCCCGGCGCGCACUGCCUCUGAC